RNAcentral lists this ribosomal RNA (292 nucleotides) under uncultured bacterium. RNAcentral describes it as "partial 16S ribosomal RNA". It matches the Rfam family "Bacterial small subunit ribosomal RNA", at positions 505 to 796 of the family's 1533-position model. The record is from RNAcentral.
GUGUCAGCAGCCGCGGUAAGACAGAGGUGGCGAGCGUUGUUCGGAUUUAUUGGGCGUAAAGCGCACGCAGGCGGUUUGGUAAGUCAGGGGUGAAAGCCCACAGCUUAACUGUGGGACUGCCUUUGAUACUGCCUUUCUCGAGUGCAUGAGGGGGAAGCGGAAUUCCGAGUGUAGAGGUGAAAUUCGUAGAUAUUCGGAGGAACACCGGUGGCGAAGGCGGCUUCCUGGCAUGUAACUGACGCUCAGGUGCGAAAGCGUGGGUAGCAAACAGGAUUAGAUACCCCUGUAGUCC